RNAcentral lists this ribosomal RNA (446 nucleotides) under uncultured bacterium. RNAcentral describes it as "partial 16S ribosomal RNA". It matches the Rfam family "Bacterial small subunit ribosomal RNA", at positions 338 to 795 of the family's 1533-position model. The record is from RNAcentral.
CCUACGGGAGGCAGCAGUCGAGAAUCAUUCACAAUGGGGGAAACCCUGAUGGUGCGACGCCGCGUGGGGGAAUGAAGGUCUUCGGAUUGUAAACCCCUGUCAUGUGGGAGCAAAUUAAAAAGAUAGUACCACAAGAGGAAGAGACGGCUAACUCUGUGCCAGCAGCCGCGGUAAUACAGAGGUCUCAAGCGUUGUUCGGAAUCACUGGGCGUAAAGCGUGCGUAGGCUGUUUCGUAAGUCGUGUGUGAAAGGCGCGGGCUCAACCCGCGGACGGCACAUGAUACUGCGAGACUAGAGUAAUGGAGGGGGAACCGGAAUUCGCGGUGUAGCAGUGAAAUGCGGAGAUAUCGAGAGGAACACUCGUGGCGAAGGCGGGUUCCUGGACAUUAACUGACGCUGAGGCACGAAGGCCAGGGGAGCGAAAGGGAUUAGAUACCCCAGUAGUC